CAUUGAAUAUAAAAAAUAAUGAUGAAAAUAUUUAUAAUAUUUUUUGUCAUUUCAUUGUCGAUAUUUAAAAAGAAAGCUGCAUAUCAAUUGAUCCGAGAAGUUUCCUGAUGUUCUUAAUCAAAAGUACCAAAUUUUGAUUUUACAUUUUGAUACAAUUCACGGUCGUUGUCGAAACUAUUUCUAAUAGAUAAUUGCCGGACGUUCUUAACCUAACGAAUGUAUUGGCUGAUAUCCUGCCCUAAGUAGUAUCUACACAAUAAAAUACAAUUUGCUCUACCCCUCUGGUGUGAAAUUCUAUCCAAAAGGGUGUUAUGAUGGUACAGAAUAUGUUAUGCAAUAAUGAUUCACCUUAUUUUUACUAAACUGGCAAGAAACUGAUUGAAAAUGCGAGACGUUCCAAACCUAUACUUACUGCGCACAGUUCAGUCUAAGUAUAAGCAUCAGCAGAAACUCUAGAUGCCUUGACGAGAUCCACUUAAAUAUAUACUUAGCUUUUGCACAAACAAACCAAAGAUUUCAUCACUCAUCACAACAAUCACAAAUCUUAUUUGAACGUCGUUACGUCGAAGUUGACCAUUUAAAAACUGAAAACAGUGCAUCCAAACAGUGCCAGUUAAUGCGGCAGAAGGUUCAGUUAAAUCGGAAUGUUCAGUUUGGCUUUUGUGCAAGCCGGAAGCCUUAUUAAUCAUACAAUCAAAUCAAACCUUUAAGAGAUGUUUCAGACUUGGUAGCUUGAAGAUAAAUUUAAUUAAACGCAUACUAUAUUUGUAUGCAGUGCUAAUACACAUCAACUGAAAA
Long non-coding RNA from Teleopsis dalmanni, 798 nucleotides. RefSeq lists it as uncharacterized. The record is from RefSeq and is a predicted model, not a curated record. NCBI's taxonomy places the organism in Eukaryota, Metazoa, Arthropoda, Insecta, Diptera, Diopsidae. The transcript is spliced from 4 exons.